Oncorhynchus tshawytscha (Chinook salmon) is the source of this 355-nucleotide long non-coding RNA. The record is from Ensembl. Lineage: Eukaryota; Metazoa; Chordata; Actinopteri; Salmoniformes; Salmonidae.
AGUAGGAGUAGUAGUAGUAGUAGUGGUAGUAGUAGGAGUAGGAGUGGUGGUAGUAGUAGUAGUGGUAGUAGUAGUGGUAGUAGUAGUAGUAGUGGUGGUAGUAGUAGUAGUAGUAGUAGUGGUAGUAGUAGUGGUAGUAGUAGUAGUAGUGGUAGUGGUAGUAGUAGUGGUAGUAGUAGUAGUAGUAGUAGUAGUAGUAGUAGUAGUGGUGGUAGUAGGAGUAGUAGUGGUGGUAUUAGUAGUAGGAGUAGUAGUGGUGGUAUUAGUAGUAGUAGUAGUAGUAGUAGUAGUAGUAGUAGUAGUAGUAGUAGUGGUAGUAGUAGUAGUAGUAGUAGUAGUAGUAGUGGUAGUAGUG